UGGGAGUCAAAGAGUACGUUCUCUUUGAGAAGAGCAACUUCUUAGUCUCACUAGAGUUGUCCUAUUGAUUGAAGUUCAUCAUCAUAUGAGAAACUUCCCAUCAUCUUUUGUCUAUUAUUAGGAAUUGAUAUAAUCCAAUUAUAUCCUAAAAAUCUAUCAUUAUAGAUUUCCAUCCCCUGUAUAUAGACUAUGUCUCCCAUAUACAUUCUAUCUUCAUAUAAUGUUUAAAGUCAUAACUUUAACGAAGAAGUAUUCUUUUCAUUUCCAAAAUUAAUAUAUCAUAUAUAUUUAAAUUUUAGGAACAUGAUUAACUCCCACUAAUCUUUUGUAAACCUAGUAAACAAAAGAUUCAUUUACAUCUUUAUGAGAAAUCAAAUGAUUUGAUCCUUUUCUCAUAAGAUGCUCAUAGCUUCCACUAGCUUGCUUAGAUUCAUGAUGGAUGGAUCUCUACAACUUACAUGUCUUGUGAUUCAUAGUUUAGACAUAUAUUAUUAAGACUAUCUUAAUAAUGGUUUCGGAAACCCAUAUUAUGUCCAAACAUUGAAUCACCAUUUAGUUGUAGCUAGCAAUCUUCGAAUUAAUUGAAACCAAGACUAUCUCAAAGAUGGUUUCUUCAAAGUCAACCAUCCUUUUGAUUGUAGUUACCUUAAGCUACCAAUUAGCUUAUGAAGGUUUCAUUAUUUCGGGUCAAAUGGUACUUUACCAUUUCCUUGAGUAUAUAUCAUAUAUACACUCAAUGUAGUCAUAAGGAUUUUCAUUCUUAUUUCUUUCGAACUAAGAGGUGCAACUCUAUGACAUAGUCAUAAAGUUCAAACCAUUCAACUGAGAUGGUUUAUAAAUCCUUCUCGACUACCUUGGAGCUUUUGGUAUUGGAACUAGGUUGUUUAUAUUUGUUGAUUACUUUCUUGUCUCUCAAAGAACCCAUUCUUUG
This 931-nucleotide long non-coding RNA is filed under the name Malus domestica (apple). RNAcentral's name for it is "long non-coding RNA (MDOM_LNC005599)". Lineage: Eukaryota; Viridiplantae; Streptophyta; Magnoliopsida; Rosales; Rosaceae. The record is from RNAcentral.